Molecule: long non-coding RNA, 1902 nt
Organism: Podarcis raffonei (Aeolian wall lizard)
Lineage: Eukaryota; Metazoa; Chordata; Lepidosauria; Squamata; Lacertidae
Exons: 4
Source: RefSeq, a predicted model, not a curated record
UAGCAUUGUCCUAAAUAAAAUGAUCUAACCGCCAGUUUGAAAGUUCACCACCCAGUUUCAAUUAGUUCACUGUAUAAUCUAAGAACUUUUUUCAAAGGCUGUUGUCUUAAAAGUGUUUGCUAGAUUGUUUUUGCUUGGUGAAUUAUUGCCCUGCGGGGAUUCCAAAUUGGUCCAGGCUCCUACAUAACAAAAAAUGCGGCCAGUGGGGGCAGGAUUUCUCGCCCCCCGCGGCAGCCGCUGAAAAGGGAGAGUUCAAAACCCUCCAGAAAGAAAGAACUUUUCCGCAAUGACCACAAAGCUGGACCGAGAGGUCCCAGCAGGAAAACAAAACAAAACAAAAAAUGUCGCCUCGCAUUCCACUGACUUUUUCGCAACCUGGUUGGCAAGCCUGAACUGAACUACCCUUCCCCGGCCGGCUUCGUCCCGACAACCUCCUAAUCUACUGGGAAGGGCUCUCUGCACCCGGGAGGAGCGCCUCGCUACCACCCCGAAGCGCUUCGAGGACGGAGAAGGGGCCUCCGUGGGGAAGCGGAGACCAGGCAGGCAGCUCUGCCGCGCACGGCUUCCUCUGAGAAGCAGAAGGAGUUUGAGCUUCCCUGAGCGGGUUUGGCCCUUACUCUCCAAAGCUUGCUGACAGAAGCGUAAAUCCUAGGCACUAGCAACCAAUGGAUUCAAAUGACAAGAAAGGAGAUUCCGACUUAACAUUAAGAAGAACUUUCUGACGGCAAGAGAUGCUCGGCAGAGGAACGGGCUCCUUCGGAAGGUGGUGGACUCUCCUUCGCUGGAGGAAGUACAACGCAGAUUUGUUGGGGGAACGGCAACAACUUCUUUGUCUUGCUCCUCACAGGGCCGUUGUGUGGAAAGUGAGUCAGGAGCAUGAUGAGCUGGGGGCUCAGGUGAACAUCUCAGAUCAACCACAAACACCUUCUGUGGCUUUGCGGGUAGUUUUCCCUUUGUACAGGUCUUGCCAGGAUCCAAUAGAUGAAAACCAGGCAAGAAACAAUCCUUAAAAUGUUACAGAUAUCCACAGUCCAGUUCAAAAUGUCUGGAGGAAAACAAAGAGAAGUCUUCCUAAAUUGCAGGUAGGAAAAGAGUGAGUGCAGGAAGGAAGAGAUAGGGAUUAAUGCAUUUUCUUUUUCCCGCCACCAGGUUUGCGGGUGUGACAUCAUAGAGUCCCCUCUAUGCGUGGUCCCCUCCAUGGUGCCAUUGCCUCUGUUAGUGACCGUCUAGCCAUCAUGUAUUUCUGAUUUUGGCUGCACACCCUCCCACACCGAUACCAUUGUUCUCUGGGAAGCUCCCACCCAAAAUGAUAAAACGCAAUUUUUAAAAAAUGAUAUAUUAAGAUAAUCCUGCAGCCUAUUUUUCAGUUCUGCUUGAGUGACCCGUACCUUUCAGGCUGUGGUCCCACAUGGGGGACCCUUAAGUACUGCAGGCCCACAUGGCUUGGAUCGUUGGGCACAAUAUAUGGGGCUGAGAGGGAAUAGAAACAGGGGAUCCAUCCUUGGGAAGGGACCACCAAGGUGUUACCUUCACUCCCUGCUAUGCUCCAGCAGCUGCAUGGUUAAAAAUGUUGGUCCGUAGAGCAAGACUUGCGGGUUCCUCCAAUCCCCUCAUUUAUUGAUUUACUUACUGCAUUUAUAUCCCACCUCCCCCUGCGCGCACUUGGCUCUGCCCCAUCUCAUUUAAUUCCCACAAAACCCUGUGGCGUUGGUUAGGCUGAGAGGCAGUAACUGGCCCAAAGUCACUCAGUGUUAAGGAUUUGCUUCCUAAAUGUCCAGCGUUGUUAUGUGUUUGGCUGUCAGAUCCCUGGGAAAUGGGUCUCUGCCUGCAAGAGGUGUCCCACUUGCCUCUACUUUUUAACCCUCUGCUUGUCAAUGUGCAAAUAAAACACUUGCUUGAAAA